RNAcentral lists this ribosomal RNA (511 nucleotides) under uncultured bacterium. RNAcentral's name for it is "bacterial SSU rRNA". It matches the Rfam family "Bacterial small subunit ribosomal RNA", at positions 791 to 1314 of the family's 1533-position model. The record is from RNAcentral.
UAGUCCACGCCAUAAACAAUGGAUACUCGAUGUAGGAUCUUUCAACCGGAUUCAGUGUCUAAGCUAACGCGAUAAGUAUCCCGCCUGGGGAGUACGGUCGCAAGAUUAAAACUCAAAGGAAUAGACGGGGACCCACACAAGCGGUGGAGCAUCUGGUUUAAUUCGAUAAUAAGCGGGGAACCUUACCUGGGCUUGACAUCCCGAGAAUCUCUUAGAAACAAGAGAGUGCCUUUCGGAACUCGGUGACAGGUGCUGCAUGGUUGUCGUCAGCUCGUGCCUUGAGGUGUUCGGUUAAGUCCGUGAACGAGCGCAACCCUUGUCCUGUGUUGUAUUUUUCACAGGAGACUGCCGGCUACAAGUCGGAGGAAGGUAAGGAUGACGUCAAAUCAGCAUGGCCCUUAUGUCCAGGGCUACACAGGUGCUACAAUGGGGGGUACAACGGGUAGCCAAGCAGUAAUGCGGAGCCAAUCCUUCAAAACCCUCCUCAGUUCGGAUUGAGGGCUGCAACUCG